AGUGAACGCUGGCGGUAGGCCUAACACAUGCAAGUCGAACGGCAGCACAGGAGAGCUUGCUCUCUGGGUGGCGAGUGGCGGACGGGUGAGGAAUACAUCGGAAUCUACUUUUUCGUGGGGGAUAACGUAGGGAAACUUACGCUAAUACCGCAUACGACAUACGGGUGAAAGCAGGGGCCCUUCGGGCCUUGCGCGAUUGAAUGAGCCGAUGUCGGAUUAGCUAGUUGGCGGGGUAAAGGCCCACCAAGGCGACGAUCCGUAGCUGGUCGGAGAGGAUGAUCAGCCACACUGGAACUGAGACACGGUCCAGACUCCUACGGGAGGCAGCAGUGGGGAAUAUUGGACAAUGGGCGCAAGCCUGAUCCAGCCAUACCGCGUGGGUGAAGAAGGCCUUCGGGUUGUAAAGCCCUUUUGUUGGGAAAGAAAUCCAGCUGGCUAAUACCCGGUUGGGAUGACGGUACCCAAAGAAUAAGCACCGGCUAACUUCGUGCCAGCCGCCGCAGUAA
Molecule: ribosomal RNA, 506 nt
Filed under: uncultured bacterium
Lineage: Bacteria
Description: partial 16S ribosomal RNA
Rfam family: Bacterial small subunit ribosomal RNA
Source: RNAcentral